RNAcentral lists this unclassified non-coding RNA (253 nucleotides) under uncultured Micrococcaceae bacterium. Its description in RNAcentral is "contains 16S-23S intergenic spacer region". It matches the Rfam family "Bacterial small subunit ribosomal RNA", at positions 524 to 776 of the family's 1533-position model. The record is from RNAcentral. Lineage: Bacteria; Bacillati; Actinomycetota; Actinomycetes; Micrococcales; Micrococcaceae.
UACGUAGGUCGCAAGCGUUAUCCGGAAUUAUUGGGCGUAAAGAGCGCGUAGGCGGUUUGUCGCGUCUGCCGUGAAAGCCCGGGGCUCAACUCCGGAUCUGCGGGGGGUACGGGCAGGCUAGAGUGCUGUAGGGGAGACUGGAAUUCCUGGUGUAGCGGUGAAAUGCGCAGAUAUCCGGAGGAACACCGAUGGCGAAGGCAGGUCUCUGGGCAUUAACUGACGCUGAGGAGCGAAAGCAUGGGGAGCGAACAGG